RNAcentral lists this ribosomal RNA (393 nucleotides) under uncultured bacterium. RNAcentral's name for it is "partial 16S ribosomal RNA". It matches the Rfam family "Bacterial small subunit ribosomal RNA", at positions 523 to 918 of the family's 1533-position model. The record is from RNAcentral.
AUACGUAGGUGGCGAGCGUUGUCCGGAUUUACUGGGCGUAAAGAGUGCGUAGGCGGAUGUUUAAGUGAGAUGUGAAAUACCCGAGCUCAACUUGGGUGCAGCAUUUCAAACUGGGCAUCUAGAGUGCAGGAGAGGAAAGCGGAAUUCCUAGUGUAGCGGUGAAAUGCGUAGAGAUUAGGAAGAACACCAGUGGCGAAGGCGGCUUUCUGGACUGAAACUGACGCUGAGGCACGAAAGCGUGGGGAGCAAACAGGAUUAGAUACCCUGGUAGUCCACGCCGUAAACGAUGGGUACUAGGUGUCGGGGGUCCAACCUCGGUGCCGCAGUAAACACAUUAAGUACCCCGCCUGGGGAGUACGGUCGCAAGAUUAAAACUCAAAGGAAUUGACGGGG